GUGGGGAAUCUUGCACAAUGGGCGAAAGCCUGACGCAGCCAUGCCGCGUGAAUGAUGAAGGUCUUAGGAUUGUAAAAUUCUUUCACCGGGGACGAUAAUGACGGUACCCGGAGAAGAAGCCCCGGCUAACUUCGUGCCAGCAGCCGCGGUAAUACGAAGGGGGCUAGCGUUGCUCGGAAUUACUGGGCGUAAAGGGCGCGUAGGCGGACAGCUUAGUCAGAGGUGAAAGCCCAGGGCUCAACCUUGGAAUUGCCUUUGAUACUGGCUGUCUUGAGUUUGGGAGAGGUGAGUGGAACUCCGAGUGUAGAGGUGAAAUUCGUAGAUAUUCGGAAGAACACCAGUGGCGAAGGCGACUCACUGGCCCAAUACUGACGCUGAGGCGCGAAAGCGUGGGGAGCAAACAGGAUUAGAAACCCUGGUAGUCC
This 425-nucleotide ribosomal RNA is filed under the name uncultured bacterium. RNAcentral describes it as "partial 16S ribosomal RNA". It matches the Rfam family "Bacterial small subunit ribosomal RNA", at positions 354 to 796 of the family's 1533-position model. The record is from RNAcentral.